This is an RNA transcript of Lagenorhynchus albirostris (white-beaked dolphin), 1509 nucleotides long. It is a transcript of the gene named intraflagellar transport 22, with no coding region annotated. The transcript is spliced from 6 exons. NCBI's taxonomy places the organism in Eukaryota, Metazoa, Chordata, Mammalia, Artiodactyla, Delphinidae. The record is from RefSeq and is a predicted model, not a curated record.
GAAGGCAGCCAACCGGCGCGGCGGCUUCCGCUCCGCCCUGACGGAGGCGAGGACUCUGGCAGCGCCUGGGGUUCCGGCGGGUCUGCCGGCUGCGGGCCGCGAUGCUGAAGGCCAAGAUCCUCUUCGUGGGGCCCUGCGAGAGUGGAAAAACUGUUUUGGCCAACUUCCUGACAGAAUCUUCUGACAUCACCGAAUACAACCCAACCCAAGGAGUGAGGAUCCUGGAAUUUGAGAACCCACACGUUACCAGCAACGACAAAAGCACGGGGUGUGAAUUUGAGCUCUGGGACUGUGGUGGCGAUCCAAAGUUCGAGUCUUGCUGGCCAGCCCUGAUGAAGGACUCUCAUGGGGUGGUGGUCGUCUUCAAUGCUGACAUCCCAGGCCACCUGAAGGAAAUUGAGAUGUGGUAUUCCUGCUUCGUCCAGCAGCAGUUUUUACAGGACACUCAAUGUCUGUUAAUUGCACACCACAAACCAGGCUCUGGAAGUGACAAAGGAAACCUGGCUUUGGCACCACCCUUGAACAAGCUGAAGCUGGUGCACUCAAAUCUUGAGGAUGACCCAGAAGACAUCAGAAUGGAGUUCGUAAAGUAUUUAAGAAGCAUAAUCAACUCAGUGUCUGAGAGCAGAGACCGGGAGGAGAUGUCAAUUAUCACCUAACCGGCCUUCACCUAGACGCUUCCGCAUCCCAAAUGAAGUCAAUUUCAGUGCAGAUCUGAAAUCCAUCCACCUACUAAGGUUCUCAUCUCCCUUUGGCUGUAGAAGACAUUUUCCUUAUUUAGCCAAAGAUCUUGACUUCAGCCUUCCCCACCUGAUUCCUGAGAACUACAUGAAUAUCCUGGCCGUGGCGGAUGCUUUUGCAACAGACGUACUCUUUCCUCAGGCAAGAAAUGAAGGAUUCUACAUUUUAAAAACCAAAACCAAAGAAAUAAAUGAGGAAGAUGGAAACUCUGCUUUUGAAUGUUAAGAAGAAAUUACGUAUUUUUGACUGUGACUUCUAAACUGCUUUAUCAGUUAAACAAUUCUCUAUGUUUAUGAUCUGGGCCAUUCUUCCUACCGAAGUUAAAAGCUAAUGGAAAUGUGUCUGCCAAGUAUUCCCACUUCAAAAGGAAAGUUUCUUGGUGCUUUGAUGUGAGCAAUACCUCAUCUGUCUUCUUACACCGUACAGUUCACUCCUAUCUAGGCUUUCUGAUAGCCUUUAAAAGUAUGCCUCCUUUCUCUAAAGCCUCAGGCAGAUUCACUCCACACUUACAGCUCUUUGGACCAAGUGUAAUUAUAGAUCUUAGACUUUCAAAGUGUUGUGUAAAAACAAAAACAUCUAUUAAGACUGUUUAUAAUCCUACCGGAGUUUUGUGAUAAGUAAUUCAUACAAGAACCAUCGUGUUUUUGUUUUUUGUUUUAAUCUUUUGUGUGACUUUACAAGACCUGGAAAACACCUAGGUGUGAAUUAACCAGAUCAUGUAAUGAAAUAUUUUGUUCAGAGAAAUAAAAUCCUAAUUUUAUCAAAGUA